This 1332-nucleotide ribosomal RNA is filed under the name metagenome. Its description in RNAcentral is "bacterial SSU rRNA". It matches the Rfam family "Archaeal small subunit ribosomal RNA". The record is from RNAcentral.
UAACCCUGGGAAACUGGGGAUAAUACCUUAUAGGUGAUAAUGGCUGGAACGCCUCUUCACUCAAGGAAUACUCGCUUGAGGAUGGGACUGCGGCGGAUUAGCUCGUUGUUAGGAUAAAAGCCUAACAAGGCGGUAAUCCGUACGGGUCGUGAGAGCGGUAGCCCGGAGAUGGACUCUGAGACAUUAGUCCAGGCCCCACGGGGCGCAGCAGUUGCGAAACCUCCACAAUGCGCGAAAGCGUGAUGGGGGGACCCUGAGUGACUUCGCACUGCGAAGUCUUUUUAUGAGUGUAAACAGCUCAUAGAAUAAGUGGUGGGUAAGACGGUUGCCAGCCGCCGCGGUAAUAACCGCGCCACAAGUUGUAGUCACGUUUAUUGGGCCUAAAGCGUCCGUAGCCGGCUUGACAAGUCUCUGGUGAAAUCCUAUAGCAAACUAUAGGGCUUGCUGGAGAUACUAUCAGGCUUGAGACCGGGAGAGGCUGAGGGUACUUCUGGGGUAAGGGUAAAAUCUUUUAAUCCCAGAGGGACCACCUGUGGCGAAGGCGCUCAGCUAGAACGGGUCUGACGGUGAGGGACGAAAGCUAGGGGAGCGACCGGGAUUAGAUACCCCGUUAGUCCUAGCUGUUAACGAUGCCCACUUGGUGUUGCAAAACUUUAGGGGUUUUGCAGUGCCGUAGCGAAGGUGUUAAGUGGGCCGCCUGGGGAGUACGGCCGCAAGGCUGGAACUUAAGGGAAUUGGCGGGGGAGCACUACCAGGGGUGGAGGCUGCGGUUUAAUUGGAUUCAACGCCGGGAACCUCACCAGGAAAGACAGCAGAAUGAUGGUCAGCCUGAAGGGCUUACCUGACAAGCUGAGAGGUGCUGCAUGGCCGUCGUCAGUUCGUGCCGUGAGGUGUCUUGUUAAGUCAAGAAACGAACGAGACCUGCGCCGUUAGUUGCUAUCUAUUUCCACGGAAGUGGAGCACUCUAACGGGACCGCUGGUGCAAAACCAGAGGAAGGAGCAGGCUACGGCAGGUCUGUAUGGCCCAAAUUUCCUUGGGCUACACGCGGCCUACAAUGCGUAGAACAAUGGGAUGCAACACCGAAAGGUGAAGCUAAUCUCCUAAAUCUGCGCUUAGUUCGGAUCGGGGGCUGCAACUCGCUCCCGUGAAGCCGGAAUCCCUAGUAAGCGAAGGUCAUCAUCUUUCGCUGAAUACGUCCCUGCUCCUUGCACACACCGCCCGUCAAGCCAUCCGAGUGAAUCCUUGGUGAGGCUUACGCUGAGUAAUUCGAAUCAAGGUUUUGCAAGGAGGGCUAAGUCGUAACAAGGUAGCCGUACGGGAACGUGCGGCUG